RNAcentral lists this long non-coding RNA (1439 nucleotides) under Malus domestica (apple). Its description in RNAcentral is "long non-coding RNA (MDOM_LNC009666)". Lineage: Eukaryota; Viridiplantae; Streptophyta; Magnoliopsida; Rosales; Rosaceae. The record is from RNAcentral.
AUUCAUACAUUCCUUUUUACUUUUCUCACAUAUUUUUAAUUUUCGGCCGUCGGAUCGGAUGAAUUGAAGAAGAUCAAAUGAUAGAAAUUAACAAGGGGUGUGGGAGAAGUAAAAAGAGAUGUGUGGAUAGCACACCCCUAGAUAUAAGCUCAUGUAACACUUAUUUCCUUGACAAAAAUCCAUCUCAUUUUAAACGUUUAAAUAAAACCCAGAUUUGAAGUAGACUAUCAUGUAAACAAAUAAAUAGCUAUUUUUUUCAAACUAUUUACAAUUGAGCCACAACACUCUAAUUAUGUUAAUGAAUUUAAUUAUCCACCAUAAUUGUGGGAAAUAAGUGCCUUAUUAUUAAAAAAUUAUCUACCUUUAUUAUUAAAAAAAUUAUCUACCUUAUACUUCUCUUACCAUCAUGUGUUUCAUUUCUUUUAUUUGUUUGACAAUCAUUGUAGGUAAAUGAUUUUGUAUGUAUGUAUUGGGCACAUUUUGUUAAAAUUAUAUAUAUGCGUACAAAUAAUUUAUCUAUAUUUUUAUGUAAAAUAAUAUGUGAUUAAUUAAUUUUGAAUCAAUUGGCUAAAAAUAUUUAUUUAUUUUGUAGGUAAAUUAUUUUUCAUGUGAUAUUACAUAUAGACUAGCCACAUUUUGUUAUUAUUAUAUAGAGUGUGCAAUCAAUCGACAUUCUUUUAUUUUGUAGGUAAAUUAUUUUGCAUGUAGGUAAUUUACCUAUGUUAUAUUUAAAAUAUUGAUAAUUUUGAAUAAAAUAACUUUUUUUUUAUAUUUGUAGGAUAUACCAAUUUACCUGUUAGCAUGACACGCCCCGACCCUGAUAUUCCCCGAAUACCAAGAUAGACACAUGCUGGCCGAUACCCGAGGGUGACGAAAGCCAUUAAUUGAUACAAAAGCUUAGAAUAAGAAAUAAAUAAGGGUUAGAAAUUUAAAAUACAAUGAAUUAAUAAUUUAGGAACGUGUUCAGAGUAUACAACUAACUAGAGCUCUAAAAGGAUUAAUAUAAAAUUGAAUAAAUAAGAGGAUGUAGGUCCUACACCGAGAGGACUCGAAUAUGCCAAUGCGAAAGCGUUGACGUCGGGAUCGUAUGCCUCGAUUCUAAAUCCUGAAAGGGGGCGCAAAACAAGGGUGAGUAGACCAAGUUUAUAUACAUGCAUAAUACAAAAACAGUUAUAAAUAUACUAACCCCUAAAGUUUUAAUAAUGAAAACUACUAGCAUAAUAAAUGAUAGGUUUUUCUAAAACUCUAGCAUGCCAUAAAACAUCUCAACAUGUAUAAUGCGGAAAAACAUCAUAUAAAUCAUCGCGUGUAUUGUCUCGUAGAUUGUCUCAUAAGCGUGGUGUGCUGCUAGUAAGAUCACUGAAUAAAUAUACUCCUGGCCCAAUGCCAGCACCUAAGUCUCUGUGCCCGUAGCCAGAGAUAACUCCCUUCCGGCCCAA